Molecule: microRNA precursor, 100 nt
Filed under: Nomascus leucogenys (northern white-cheeked gibbon)
Lineage: Eukaryota; Metazoa; Chordata; Mammalia; Primates; Hylobatidae
Description: miRNA (ENSNLEG00000033055.1)
Source: RNAcentral
UGAGGCAGGAGAAUUGCUUGAACCCAGGAGGUGGAGGUUGCAGUGAGCCAAGAUCAAGCCACUGCACUCCAGCCUGGUGACAGAGCGAGACUCCGUCUCA